GACCAUAUUCAAUCAGCCUCUCUAUGGUCGCGGCUG
Molecule: non-coding RNA, 36 nt
Filed under: unclassified sequences
Source: RNAcentral